This 480-nucleotide ribosomal RNA is filed under the name Triticum aestivum (bread wheat). RNAcentral's name for it is "partial small subunit ribosomal RNA". The record is from RNAcentral. Lineage: Eukaryota; Viridiplantae; Streptophyta; Magnoliopsida; Poales; Poaceae.
AUGGAGGUCGAGAUCAAGCUCCGGCUCCCUGACGCGGCCGCACACCGGCGCCUCUCCUCCUUCCUCGCGCCCCGCCUGCUCUGCACCGACGCCCCCGCGCGGCCCCUCGCCGCCGCCACCGCCACCCAGCGGGUCCGCCUCUACGGCACCGACGACCGCGACCCCUCCCGCGCCGUCCUCACGCUCAAGCGCCGCCCGCGCAUCGACGCCCGCGUCAGCCGCGUUGAGGAGGUCGUGGAGCCCCUCGACCCCCCUCUAAAGCUCACCUGCGUCAACAACCCCGCCCGUCUCGACGCGGUUGACUCCCCCAUCGUCCGGCUCGUCUCCGACGAGUACGGCCUCGGCGGGGACAAAGCGUCGUUCGUCUGCCUCAGCGGCUUCUGGAACACCCGCGGUGUGUAUGAGCUUGAGGAGUGCGAGGGGCAGGAGCUCGUGCUAGAGCUCGAUGAGACACACUUUGAUUUUGGCACAAACUUCUAG